UGUGGCCUACGGGACGCAGCAGUAGGGAAUCUUCCACAAUGGGCGAAAGCCUGAUGGAGCAACGCCGCGUGGGUGAAGAAGGUCUUCGGAUCGUAAAACCCUGUUGUUAGAGAAGAAAGUGCGUGAGAGUAACCGUUCACGUUUCGACGGUAUCUAACCAGAAAGCCACGGCUAACUACGUGCCAGAAGCCGCGGUAAUACGUAGGUGGCAAGCGUUAUCCGGAUUUAUUGGGCGUAAAGGGAACGCAGGCGGGAUUUUAAGUCUGAUGGGAAAGCCUUC
RNAcentral lists this ribosomal RNA (280 nucleotides) under uncultured bacterium. RNAcentral's name for it is "partial 16S ribosomal RNA". It matches the Rfam family "Bacterial small subunit ribosomal RNA", at positions 333 to 605 of the family's 1533-position model. The record is from RNAcentral.